RNAcentral lists this long non-coding RNA (1736 nucleotides) under Volvox carteri. Its description in RNAcentral is "long non-coding RNA (VCAR_LNC000396)". The record is from RNAcentral. Lineage: Eukaryota; Viridiplantae; Chlorophyta; Chlorophyceae; Chlamydomonadales; Volvocaceae.
UGGGACUAGGUCUCACCCCACCUGAGGGAUGGUUGCGCUUAAUUAAUAAAUGACAUGCGGCCUCGAUGCCCAACGCCUGUUGUGAACCUUGUGCACUAGUAGUCAAAUCGGUCAGACCUCUCUACUGAAGAGCUUUGGGCACUCAUGUCGUACAUUGCGAUACGACAUUUGGUUUCCUAUGUCUGGCGAAGGGAAGCCGCAUUCUUAGUUCCUUGUGAAGUCUUGUAACGGAAGUGCAGACCACGCUCCAAGCCUGAGUAGCCGUGUAGCGUAUGGCACAGAGCAGCUCAAGAGUUUACAGCAUGGUCCUUAUUAAUCCAUCCUUACGAUCUGUUCUGCCGUUCCAAGCAUAGCACAACAUCCGUAAAUUCAUGCUGGCGCGGCUGGCCAAAGAUAUUCGGCCUGAGAGCCUCUUAGGUCCCCACAGCGUUUCUACGUUCCAACUAGUCUUAAGUAGUGGUCCCCGGGCAUAUAGACUGCCUUGGCUGCGUGCAAGGAGUAGUACGAGGACCAAGGGUUUUUGUACGGUCUUACAGUGCUGUACGCUGUCACAUGGUAUGACGUACAGGGCCAUAGGUUGCCUAAGGCAGGGUAAAGGAAAGCACACCGAAACGAAGUACACAAUCCUGCUAGAAGUGGGAAUGCUCAACCCGUCGAAACCGGAGCGGUCGUAUCCAGGGGUCUGAUCAUAACCAGUCUCGCGAAGUAUGAAGGUCUUCCUGGAAAAGCCAAUCCGGACAAGAGGUAUAGCAUAGCAUGUGAUACAUGUUGCCAAACGGAUAAUUGCUGUCGCAAUGCGACACACAUGUAUGCUUGUGCGUGACAUACGCGCAUAUGCGUGCGUAUGGCAUACACGCCGUGCAUGCGUGUAUGUUUGGGCUGGGUGGCCAUGAUGCUAGUGAUUUAUCUGAAAAAUGCACUACGGAGACGCCUGCAACAAACGCGCUGCAUGAACGGCUGCAGCUAAUAUCAACACAGAUAUAUGCUGGUGUACUAUACACAACAAUCUCAGCAUAAUUACUAGGUUAGAACCUAUUCACAUGGCGGCAGGUUUGGCGUUUAGUCUUCAUAGUUGAAGCGCCGAGACCGUACUGCGUUUGCAUUUCAAUUCGUUUCCUACAAGCUAUCAUAUCCCGACGCCGUCGCUAGCCCAGUAAGCAAUUUAAGUGCCACCGUUCGACGCUGCAAACCACAUUACCCCUUUUACAGGGAAGAUUAGGAAGUACCGUUGCCCUUCGGUCAACGAGAUGGCCAGCACCCGGCUGCUGGUCCUCUGCCUUGCGGCUGCGCUUGUUUGCGUGGCAGCGGCAAAGGCCAAUGUGCGACUUACCGACAAGCUGGUAGAGCUCAUCAAGAAGGUCCGUGGUCCAUCGUGCCGUUAUCUCCGCAGUGAGAAGCGUCUAUACCUCAAUACGGUUUUCGAUCACGUCCUUUUGCAUUUUGUUCAAUGGCUUUGGGCGCUUGCAUAGCAGGAAGUCACCCGGAAACGGUCAUGAUCUUGGCAGCUGCCUGAGUCGAACACCUUGUCUUACACCCAUCGGCGUCUGUGACAAAGUCAAUUUGAAAUCUUAUUGCCCACAGAAACAACUUGAGGGUAUUGUUGAGGAGCUGCAGCGGGAUGGAAUGGAUGUCAACCAACCUGACUCCAAGGGACGGCUUCCCUUAGUUGAAGCCGUGCGGUCAAAGGAACUGAAGUACGUGGACGCCAUGCUGCAGUACGGCGCCUUGGCUAAGUC